This 1241-nucleotide ribosomal RNA is filed under the name Escherichia coli. RNAcentral describes it as "partial 23S ribosomal RNA". It matches the Rfam family "Bacterial large subunit ribosomal RNA", at positions 1 to 1282 of the family's 2925-position model. The record is from RNAcentral. Lineage: Bacteria; Pseudomonadati; Pseudomonadota; Gammaproteobacteria; Enterobacterales; Enterobacteriaceae.
GUUAAGCGACUAAGCGUACACGGUGGAUGCCCUGGCAGUCAGAGGCGAUGAAGGACGUGCUAAUCUGCGAUAAGCGUCGGUAAGGUGAUAUGAACCGUUAUAACCGGCGAUUUCCGAAUGGGGAAACCCAGUGUGUUUCGACACACUAUCAUUAACUGAAUCCAUAGGUUAAUGAGGCGAACCGGGGGAACUGAAACAUCUAAGUACCCCGAGGAAAAGAAAUCAACCGAGAUUCCCCCAGUAGCGGCGAGCGAACGGGGAGCAGCCCAGAGCCUGAAUCAGUGUGUGUGUUAGUGGAAGCGUCUGGAAAGGCGCGCGAUACAGGGUGACAGCCCCGUACACAAAAAUGCACAUGCUGUGAGCUCGAUGAGUAGGGCGGGACACGUGGUAUCCUGUCUGAAUAUGGGGGGACCAUCCUCCAAGGCUAAAUACUCCUGACUGACCGAUAGUGAACCAGUACCGUGAGGGAAAGGCGAAAAGAACCCCGGCGAGGGGAGUGAAAAAGAACCUGAAACCGUGUACGUACAAGCAGUGGGAGCACGCUUAGGCGUGUGACUGCGUACCUUUUGUAUAAUGGGUCAGCGACUUAUAUUCUGUAGCAAGGUUAACCGAAUAGGGGAGCCGAAGGGAAACCGAGUCUUAACUGGGCGUUAAGUUGCAGGGUAUAGACCCGAAACCCGGUGAUCUAGCCAUGGGCAGGUUGAAGGUUGGGUAACACUAACUGGAGGACCGAACCGACUAAUGUUGAAAAAUUAGCGGAUGACUUGUGGCUGGGGGUGAAAGGCCAAUCAAACCGGGAGAUAGCUGGUUCUCCCCGAAAGCUAUUUAGGUAGCGCCUCGUGAAUUCAUCUCCGGGGGUAGAGCACUGUUUCGGCAAGGGGGUCAUCCCGACUUACCAACCCGAUGCAAACUGCGAAUACCGGAGAAUGUUAUCACGGGAGACACACGGCGGGUGCUAACGUCCGUCGUGAAGAGGGAAACAACCCAGACCGCCAGCUAAGGUCCCAAAGUCAUGGUUAAGUGGGAAACGAUGUGGGAAGGCCCAGACAGCCAGGAUGUUGGCUUAGAAGCAGCCAUCAUUUAAAGAAAGCGUAAUAGCUCACUGGUCGAGUCGGCCUGCGCGGAAGAUGUAACGGGGCUAAACCAUGCACCGAAGCUGCGGCAGCGACGCUUAUGCGUUGUUGGGUAGGGGAGCGUUCUGUAAGCCUGCGAAGGUGUGCUGUGAGGCAUGCUGGAGGUAU